This 70-nucleotide transfer RNA is filed under the name Loxodonta africana (African savanna elephant). It matches the Rfam family "tRNA". Rfam says of the family: Transfer RNA (tRNA) molecules are approximately 80 nucleotides in length. Their secondary structure includes four short double-helical elements and three loops (D, anti-codon, and T loops). Lineage: Eukaryota; Metazoa; Chordata; Mammalia; Proboscidea; Elephantidae. The record is from Rfam by way of RNAcentral.
GCAUUGGUGGUUCAGUGGUAGAAUUCUUGCCUUCUAUGCAACAGACCCGAUUUGAUUCCCAGCCAGUGUA